CUGUUUGUGUUUUUCCACAGGGAGAACAGCAGCCCAUUUGGAUUCCAGAGAGAUUAACUAAAACAGUUUCUACAGAUCGAAAAGAAGAUGAUUUGACUCAAAUCCAUAACAGCUGAUAUCCAGAACUCCAGCUUGGCCAUUCUUACAUCUGUGACAGUGAUUAACCAGGAUGCUUUUUUCAAUAGCUAUUUUCUUAUUGCAUUUUUCCACAUCAUAAGGUUCUAUUUUUAUUUUUUGAGCUCAUACAAAC
Molecule: long non-coding RNA, 250 nt
Filed under: Marmota monax (woodchuck)
Lineage: Eukaryota; Metazoa; Chordata; Mammalia; Rodentia; Sciuridae
Source: RNAcentral